RNAcentral lists this ribosomal RNA (2242 nucleotides) under Salmonella enterica subsp. enterica serovar Typhi. RNAcentral describes it as "partial 23S ribosomal RNA". It matches the Rfam family "Bacterial large subunit ribosomal RNA", at positions 1 to 2157 of the family's 2925-position model. The record is from RNAcentral. Lineage: Bacteria; Pseudomonadati; Pseudomonadota; Gammaproteobacteria; Enterobacterales; Enterobacteriaceae.
GGGUUGUGAGGUUAAGCGACUAAGCGUACACGGUGGAUGCCCUGGCAGUCAGAGGCGAUGAAGGGCGUGCUAAUCUGCGAUAAGCGCCGGUAAGGUGAUAUGAACCGUUAUAACCGGCGAUACCCGAAUGGGGAAACCCAGUGUGAUUCGUCACACUAUCAUUAACUGAAUCCAUAGGUUAAUGAGGCGAACCGGGGGAACUGAAACAUCUAAGUACCCCGAGGAAAAGAAAUCAACCGAGAUUCCCCCAGUAGCGGCGAGCGAACGGGGAGGAGCCCAGAGCCUGAAUCAGCAUGUGUGUUAGUGGAAGCGUCUGGAAAGGCGCGCGAUACAGGGUGACAGCCCCGUACACAAAAGCGCAUAUGCUGUGAGCUCGAUGAGUAGGGCGGGACACGUGGUAUCCUGUCUGAAUAUGGGGGGACCAUCCUCCAAGGCUAAAUACUCCUGACUGACCGAUAGUGAACCAGUACCGUGAGGGAAAGGCGAAAAGAACCCCGGCGAGGGGAGUGAAAAAGAACCUGAAACCGUGUACGUACAAGCAGUGGGAGCCCCACCACUAAGCCAGUGGUGAACUCCACAUACGCAUCCUUUGCUGAGGAGACGGUUAACGGAGCGAAAGCGACGUUCAACCUCAAAAGAAGCAGAGGGGGCUUAGUGGUGGGGUGACUGCGUACCUUUUGUAUAAUGGGUCAGCGACUUAUAUUCUGUAGCAAGGUUAACUGUAUAGGGGAGCCGGAGGGAAACCGAGUCUUAACCGGGCGUUAAGUUGCAGGGUAUAGACCCGAAACCCGGUGAUCUAGCCAUGGGCAGGUUGAAGGUUGGGUAACACUAACUGGAGGACCGAACCGACUAAUGUUGAAAAAUUAGCGGAUGACCUGUGGCUGGGGGUGAAAGGCCAAUCAAACCGGGAGAUAGCUGGUUCUCCCCGAAAGCUAUUUAGGUAGCGCCUCGUGAAUUCAUCUCCGGGGGUAGAGCACUGUUUCGGCUAGGGGGCCAUCCCGGCUUACCAACCCGAUGCAAACUGCGAAUACCGGAGAAUGUUAUCACGGGAGACACACGGCGGGUGCUAAUGUCCGUCGUGAAGAGGGAAACAACCCAGACCGCCAGCUAAGGUCCCAAAGUCAUGGUUAAGUGGGAAACGAUGUGGGAAGGCCCAGACAGCCAGGAUGUUGGCUUAGAAGCAGCCAUCAUUUAAAGAAAGCGUAAUAGCUCACUGGUCGAGUCGGCCUGCGCGGAAGAUGUAACGGGGCUAAACCAUGCACCGAAGCUGCGGCAGCGACACUGUGUGUUGUUGGGUAGGGGAGCGUUCUGUAAGCCUGUGAAGGUGUGCUGUGAGGCAUGCUGGAGGUAUCAGAAGUGCGAAUGCUGACAUAAGUAACGAUAAAGCGGGUGAAAAGCCCGCUCGCCGGAAGACCAAGGGUUCCUGUCCAACGUUAAUCGGGGCAGGGUGAGUCGACCCCUAAGGCGAGGCCGAAAGGCGUAGUCGAUGGGAAACGGGUUAAUAUUCCCGUACUUGGUGUUACUGCGAAGGGGGGACGGAGAAGGCUAUGUUGGCCGGGCGACGGUUGUCCCGGUUUAAGCGUGUAGGUAUGUGUUCCAGGUAAAUCCGGUUCACUUUAACACUGAGGCGUGACGACGAGGCACUACGGUGCUGAAGCAACAAAUGCCCUGCUUCCAGGAAAAGCCUCUAAGCAUCAGGUAACAUCAAAUCGUACCCCAAACCGACACAGGUGGUCAGGUAGAGAAUACCAAGGCGCUUGAGAGAACUCGGGUGAAGGAACUAGGCAAAAUGGUGCCGUAACUUCGGGAGAAGGCACGCUGACACGUAGGUGAAGUGAUUUACUCACGGAGCUGAAGUCAGCCGAAGAUACCAGCUGGCUGCAACUGUUUAUUAAAAACACAGCACUGUGCAAACACGAAAGUGGACGUAUACGGUGUGACGCCUGCCCGGUGCCGGAAGGUUAAUUGAUGGGGUCAGCGCAAGCGAAGCUCCUGAUCGAAGCCCCGGUAAACGGCGGCCGUAACUAUAACGGUCCUAAGGUAGCGAAAUUCCUUGUCGGGUAAGUUCCGACCUGCACGAAUGGCGUAAUGAUGGCCAGGCUGUCUCCACCCGAGACUCAGUGAAAUUGAACUCGCUGUGAAGAUGCAGUGUACCCGCGGCAAGACGGAAAGACCCCGUGAACCUUUACUAUAGCUUGACACUGAACAUUGAGCCUUGAUGUGUAGGAUAGGUGGGAGGCUU